RNAcentral lists this ribosomal RNA (333 nucleotides) under uncultured Streptosporangiaceae bacterium. RNAcentral describes it as "bacterial SSU rRNA". It matches the Rfam family "Bacterial small subunit ribosomal RNA", at positions 568 to 898 of the family's 1533-position model. Lineage: Bacteria; Bacillati; Actinomycetota; Actinomycetes; Streptosporangiales; Streptosporangiaceae. The record is from RNAcentral.
UGUGUAGGCGGCUGGACAAGUCUGGUGUGAAAUCUUCACCGCUCAACGGGAAGGGGUCACUGGAAACUGUUCAGCUUGAGUAUGGUAGAGGCAAGCGGAAUUCCUGGUGUAGCGGUGGAAUGUGUAGAUAUCAGGAAGAACAUCGGUGGCGAAGGCGGCUUGCUGGGCCAUCACUGACGCUGAGACACGAAAGCGUGGGGAGCAAACGGGAUUAGAUACCCCGGUAGUCCACGCUGUAAACUGUGCGCACUAGGUGUGGGGGGUAUCGACCCCUCCCGUGCCGACGCUAACGCAUUAAGUGCGCCGCCUGGGGAGUACGGCCGCAAGGUUGAA